Populus euphratica (Euphrates poplar) is the source of this 2499-nucleotide long non-coding RNA. RefSeq lists it as uncharacterized. The record is from RefSeq and is a predicted model, not a curated record. The transcript has 2 exons. Lineage: Eukaryota; Viridiplantae; Streptophyta; Magnoliopsida; Malpighiales; Salicaceae.
CACCCAAACAGGUAUCUCACUUAUAACGUUAGCAAACUAAACUCGAUAUACAACAAGGAAAGUUGAUACAAGUACAGAACAUGCAUAUGAUGGUGGUGUGAUCUUCCUGAUAUCAAUGACGAACAAUCUUCCAACCUUUCAUAUUUAUUUUUGAAAAAUACCCUGGGUCUUGAUUUUUUGGUGUCCACAUGCAAGUUAUAGAAGGAAAAGAUUGAAGGUGAAACUUGCAUAAAUAGGACAUUCACUAUUAUGUGUCUUUCGAUGGCAGAAUACACACUUUAUUUGUCUAUUGAUGCAUUCAUAUUUAUGCAAAUUUGUCAUGUGAAACCAUUAGGCUUGUAUUAGAAGAUUAUUCACAAGAAAUACUUGUUAUUUUGUUAUCUAUAAUUCUACAUGGAAAAUAUGUUGAGUUGUGACUUAAAUUAGUGAGUUGGUUUAGGUUAGAUUGGUAAUUACAUGGUGCGGUGUUCUAAACAAGAAUGGAAUGUGUUGACAUAUUCUGUUUCGGUAAAGACUUUCCUUGUUGGAGUUGGACUUGAAGUAUUUUUCUUAAUGAAAGAAGAAUUCUUCUCCUAGUGAAGGACCUUGUUGCUAGUAUAAAUAGCUUGUGAAGUGUCUAGUUUACAUGUGCCUCCAAUAUUAAUGGCGCGUGGAAACCAAAAGAAUUAGAGUGGUAUUUUGUCGCGAGUGAUCUAUUGGAGUUUAGGUUUUCGGCAGUGAGCUAUUUAAGUGUGUGCUUGAUUAGUGGUUGUAAUGCCUAAUAUUUGAUAGUGAAGUUUUGUGGAGUAGGGUUUGCCGAACCAAGUCAAAUUUUUGUGUCCCUUUUACUUAGUGUUAUUAUUUGGUUUGCUUGGAUUUUGCACAACAACUAGUACCUAGUUCAAGAUUGAUUGAAGAUUUGUGCAAAACAAUUGAAGGACGAGCACAAAAUUUAAGGUGGGGCCAUUUGAUGUGAAGAAAAUCCAAGUGUCGAGACCACUCAUAAUUUGUAUUGAUAUGAAGAAGGAAUUAAAUAGAUUGAGGAUGAAUGAAGGCAUGAAUAUUCUAGAUCACUUGAAUAAAUUUAAUAAAAUGAUUGUAUAAUUGAUGUGAAGAUUGAUGGGGAGGAUCUAGCCCUGAUAUUAUUAGCAUCUCUUCCAAAAUCUUAUGAUGAUUUGAUGACAACAUUGUUGGUUGGGAAAGAGAUGACUAAUGUGGAGGAUAUCACUGCUAUGCUAUUAAAUAGUAAGAUAUUUAAAAAGCUUAGUAGUGGCAACAGAGGUAGUGCUUACGUGAUGAACUUUGAUCAUGGUGAUGAAAAUAUAUUAAAAAAGAACUAAUUUUGAUAGAAUUAAGUCAAGAUCAAGAUCAAAACCAAGAGUGGAUUAUAGUAACAAGGAGUAUUAUUACUAUCACAGGAAAGGUCAUAUCCAAUUUUAUUAUAGGAGGUUGAAGAGUGAUCUAACAGAAUUCAAGGAAAAGAAGAAGAAGAGUUGUGAAGAGCAUGUAGAUGUAGCUUCUACUGCGGUUGGUGAAGUACAUGAUGUAUGAUCUCCUCAAUGUAAGGAUUCAUUGAAGGAUUCAUGGAUUUUAGACUUUGCUUACUCUUUUCAUGUUUUGUGCUAAUAAGGAUUGUUUUAGUAGUUAGGAAAUUUAUGGCGGGGAAUCCAUUGCGUUGGUGGAUAAUCAUGAAGUAGUUGUUGUUGGAAUUGGUAAAGUGAAAAAAAAAAAAAAAAGAUGCAUGAUGGUAUAUAAUGAAUACAUUUGAUGACUUUAGGCACAUGCCAAAUCUUUAAAAGAAUUUGAUUUCAUUUGAAAUACUUGAAAAAAAAAAGAUGCAUGAUGGUAUAAUGAAUACAUUUGAUGACAUUAGGCACAUGCCAAAUCUUUAAAAGAAUUUGAUUUCAUUUGAAAUACUUGAUUCACGUGGUUAUAAGCAUUUUGUUGAAGGUGGAGUUACAAGAGUUAGUCCCGGUUCUUUGGCAAUAACAAAAGGAAAAUUGAUGUGUAAUGAUUUGUAUAAGUUGAUAGGAACUGCAGUUCAAGGUGAAGCAUGCAAUGAAGCGUGUAGUAAAGUAAAUGAAAUGCAUUGUUCAGUUGCAUCCAAGAAGAGAGCUAGUUUUAUUUUGAUAGAUAGUUGUAAAGAAGAUUUUCAUACGAAGAAAUAUGCAAGAUAAAAACAAGUGGAGGUGAAGAAGAGUGGAGUUGCAUACUUCACGAAAACAAGAUCGAUGAUUUGUCACAAUUAAAGCCAAGGUGGAGAUUGUUGAGCUGUGGUUUAAAUUGGUGAUUUCGUUUGUUAGAUUGGUAGUUGCAUUGUGUGGUGUCCUAAACAAGAACGAAAUAUCUUGACAUAUUCUAUUUAGUAAAAGACUUUCCUUGUUGGAGUUGGACUUGAUAUUUUUCUUAAUGAAAGAAGAAUUCUUCUCCUAUUGAAGGACCUUGUUGCUUAAUAAAUAGCACAUGUAGUGGCUGGUUUAUGAAUGCCUCCAAUAUUGAUGGUGUGUGGUGGCAACAAAA